This 862-nucleotide ribosomal RNA is filed under the name Bacillus sp. (in: firmicutes). RNAcentral's name for it is "bacterial SSU rRNA". It matches the Rfam family "Bacterial small subunit ribosomal RNA", at positions 29 to 875 of the family's 1533-position model. Lineage: Bacteria; Bacillati; Bacillota; Bacilli; Caryophanales; Bacillaceae. The record is from RNAcentral.
ACGACGCUGCGGCGUGCCUAAUACAUGCAAGUCGAGCGAAUGAUAGGGAGCUUGCUCCCUUGUAUUAGCGGCGGACGGGUGAGUAACACGUGGGCAACCUACCUGUAAGACUGGGAUAACUUCGGGAAACCGGAGCUAAUACCGGAUAAUUUCUUUUCUCGCAUGAGAGGAGAUGGAAAGACGGUUUCGGCUGUCACUUACAGAUGGGCCCGCGGCGCAUUAGCUAGUUGGUGAGGUAACGGCUCACCAAGGCCACGAUGCGUAGCCGACCUGAGAGGGUGAUCGGCCACACUGGGACUGAGACACGGCCCAGACUCCUACGGGAGGCAGCAGUAGGGAAUCUUCCGCAAUGGACGAAAGUCUGACGGAGCAACGCCGCGUGAACGAAGAAGGCCUUCGGGUCGUAAAGUUCUGUUGUUAGGGAAGAACAAGUACCAGAGUAACUGCUGGUACCUUGACGGUACCUAACCAGAAAGCCACGGCUAACUACGUGCCAGCAGCCGCGGUAAUACGUAGGUGGCAAGCGUUGUCCGGAAUUAUUGGGCGUAAAGCGCGCGCAGGUGGUUCCUUAAGUCUGAUGUGAAAGCCCACGGCUCAACCGUGGAGGGUCAUUGGAAACUGGGGAACUUGAGUGCAGAAGAGGAAAGUGGAAUUCCACGUGUAGCGGUGAAAUGCGUAGAGAUGUGGAGGAACACCAGUGGCGAAGGCGACUUUCUGGUCUGUAACUGACACUGAGGCGCGAAAGCGUGGGGAGCGAACAGGAUUAGAUACCCUGGUAGUCCACGCCGUAAACGAUGAGUGCUAAGUGUUAGAGGGUUUCCGCCCUUUAGUGCUGCAGCUAACGCAUUAAGCACUCCGCCUG